ACAAUAUUCGGAGCGUCGGUCUGCCGAGCAAUUACACCCGCUCGGUCAAAAAUCUUCCCUUUGUCGU
RNAcentral lists this microRNA precursor (67 nucleotides) under Bombyx mori (domestic silkworm). RNAcentral's name for it is "mir-2774 microRNA precursor family". It matches the Rfam family "mir-2774 microRNA precursor family". Lineage: Eukaryota; Metazoa; Arthropoda; Insecta; Lepidoptera; Bombycidae. The record is from Rfam by way of RNAcentral.